GCACUAUAAAUCUAACUUUAAUCCAACAUCGAGGUCGCAAACUACUCCAUCGAUAAGAACUCUCCAGAGUAAUAACGCUGUUAUCCCUAAGGUAAUUUAAUCUUUUAAUCCAUAAAACAGGAUCACAUUUACACUAAUUCAUGAUUUAUUUUAAUAGAAGUUACUGAAAUUCUACCACCACCCCAGCGUAAAUAUUAAUUAUAAAAAAUAAUAAGUAUCAUCCACAAUUAUAUUAUAUAAUUAAUAUUAAAAUUCUAUAGGGUCUUCUCGUCCCACAACUAUAUUUAAGUUUUUUUACAAAAAAAAUAAAUUCAAUAAUAAACUUAAGUCAAGAAAGUUAAAUCCUCGUCCAACCAUUCAUACUAGCCUUCAAUUAAAAGACAAAUUAUUAUGCUACCUUUGUAUAGUUAAAAUACUAUAGCAAUUUAAAAAAUUCUUCAUUGAGCAGGUCAGACCUAAAAUUAAAAUCUAUAGGACAUGUUUUU
Molecule: ribosomal RNA, 485 nt
Filed under: Probergrothius angolensis
Lineage: Eukaryota; Metazoa; Arthropoda; Insecta; Hemiptera; Pyrrhocoridae
Description: partial 16S ribosomal RNA
Source: RNAcentral